This 241-nucleotide ribosomal RNA is filed under the name uncultured bacterium. RNAcentral's name for it is "partial 16S ribosomal RNA". It matches the Rfam family "Bacterial small subunit ribosomal RNA", at positions 95 to 334 of the family's 1533-position model. The record is from RNAcentral.
CCGGCGAACGGGUGCGUAACACGUGAACAACCUGCCCUCGUGUGGGGGAUAGCCAUGCUAACGCGUGGGUAAUACCGCAUACGUUCCCUUGGAGGAGUCUCUGGGGGGAGGGAAAGCUCCGGCGCACGGGGAGGGGUUCGCGGCCUAUCAGCUAGUUGGCGGGGUAAUGGCCCACCAAGGCGACGACGGGUAGCUGGUCUGAGAGGAUGGCCAGCCACAUUGGGACUGAGAGACGGCCCAG